ACUUUACGGUCUUUUCCCUGUGCUCUUAAUAAUUCUUCUGCUACACUGAUGGUGAAGUGUUUUUUUACAAGACUAUCCUUUUCACUCUCUGCAUGAUUUUUACCUCAAAAGUCCAUCUCCGUGAUCCUUUCGUUCCCACCGUCAAGCAAAUAAAAUAUGAAAACUGAAAUCAGUACCGUUAAAAUCGAUUAUAACAAUACUAUGGGAUGACACUCCAAGUGAGAAGAGAGUGUUGGACACCAGCCAGUUUCUGAGGACAACAAUUGAGGAAAGAAAUGCUUUUACAGAAACUACAAUGUUCAGUUGCACACCAAUACAACUGACACUGCCACUGCCAUAACAACUAAAGCUAUCAUUUCUGCAACUGUAACUGCUACCACUGAAAUAACAGCUUUUGCUUAGGAAAAAUAAAUAAAACAGAGACUUACUUCAU
Bemisia tabaci is the source of this 433-nucleotide non-coding RNA. The record is from RefSeq and is a predicted model, not a curated record. NCBI's taxonomy places the organism in Eukaryota, Metazoa, Arthropoda, Insecta, Hemiptera, Aleyrodidae.